This 407-nucleotide unclassified non-coding RNA is filed under the name soil metagenome. RNAcentral describes it as "partial contains 5.8S ribosomal RNA, internal transcribed spacer 2, and large subunit ribosomal RNA". The stretch from base 1 to 120 matches the Rfam family "5.8S ribosomal RNA", at positions 35 to 154 of the family's 154-position model. The record is from RNAcentral.
GAUGAAGAACGUAGCGAAAUGCGAUAAGUAAUGUGAAUUGCAGAAUUCAGUGAAUCAUCGAAUCUUUGAACGCACCUUGCGCUCCUUGGCAUUCCGAGGAGCAUGCCUGUUUGAGUGUCAUUAAAUUCUCAAGACCUGUCUGCUUUUUUGAUAGGUAUUGGAUUUUGGGGGUUGCAGGCUGUUUCAAAUAAAUAGCCUUGCUCUCCUUGAAUGUAUUAGUGGAGAAAAGCCAUUGAACUCCAUUGGUGUGAUAAAACCUAUCAAUGCCAGGAGCAAUAUCACUACUUCUCUCUGCUGUCUAACUGUGACUGUCUGUAUUAAUUAGUAUGGAUGGGGACAACUUGACCAACUUGACCUCAAAUCAGGUAGGACUACCCGCUGAACUUAAGCAUAUCAUAAGCGGAGGA